This 1669-nucleotide unclassified non-coding RNA is filed under the name Owenia fusiformis. RNAcentral's name for it is "misc RNA OFUS_LOCUS16198". The record is from RNAcentral. Lineage: Eukaryota; Metazoa; Annelida; Polychaeta; Sabellida; Oweniidae.
UUACAAAACCAUAAAGAACUGGGUCGAAUUUGAACCAUCUAUCAUCGGAAGAGUAAAUGAAUGAACUGACAGUCCAAGUCUAAAGGCCACACAUGAAAUAAGAGAUAAAACACGUGUUAUUAUUUACACUUUGAAUCCUUGCCACCAAAAUGUAUCCAUUUUCUUGAUUGGAUAAGACUGACGUCAUCGCCUGAAAUAGAAUUUUAUCCGGGGAAUUCGCUUGCGCAAGCGCAGAAGACUCUAAAUCGCCAUAUUGAUUGCCGUUGGACUUUCAACCAAAGAAAUGUUUUGGUUUUUCACAUGAUUUAGAAGCAGGUCCUGACUCAUAGGGGAGCAACAUUUAAGUGAUUACAUAGAGCUGAUAGUUGAUUGUGAAGGUAGAAAAUUUGCUGAUGAAGAGGAGUUGAAGUUUUUACAUUUAUACCUCAAAAGUUCAAAAGCAUGGGAGCAUUUUUAGAUAAGCCCAAGACUGAAAAACAUAAUGAAACAGGGGGUGGCAAUGGCCUACGCUUUGGCCUCGCCAGCAUGCAAGGCUGGCGUGUUGAGAUGGAAGAUGCACAUACAGCUAUGAUCGGCCUUGAAAAUGGUCUUACUGAUUGGUCAUUUUUUGCCGUCUUUGACGGUCAUGCGGGUAAAAAUGUAUCGGAGUAUGCAUCAAGAAAAUUAAUAGAAUCAAUUGGUAAUAAUAAAGACUUUAUGAAAGCCUUAGAACAGGGAGAUCCUACCAGUCCGCUUAUGAUACAGGCUAUAAAAAAUGGAUUUUUGGAGUUGGACGAAAAAAUGCGAAAAAUCCCUGAAAUGCUGAAUGGAGAAGAUAAGAGUGGGUCUACAGCCAUCUGUGCAUUAGUAUCACCAACACAUAUUUAUUUUGCAAACUGUGGCGACUCACGUGGACUUCUGACUUCCAGUGGAGCUGUGAAAUUUCAUACUCAGGAUCACAAACCUAGUAAUCCCAUAGAGAAAGAGCGUAUUCAAAAUGCUGGAGGAAGUGUAAUGAUUCAAAGAGUAAAUGGAUCACUUGCAGUUUCCAGAGCUUUAGGGGAUUAUGAUUAUAAAAAUGUUGAGGGCAAGAGUCCAGUUGAACAAUUAGUUUCACCAGAGCCUGAAAUUAAUAUUAUCGCAAGGACAGAUCAAGAUGAAUUUGUCGUGUUAGCUUGUGAUGGGAUCUGGGAUGUUAUGACAAAUGAUGACCUCUCCAACUUUGUGCGGUCCAGAAUUCGUCUAACUGAUAAUCUAGAGACCAUCUGUAAUCAAGUUAUUGACUGUUGUUUAUACAAGGGGAGUCGGGACAACAUGAGCAUAGUGAUAGUAGCUCUCCCUGGAGCCCAACCAGUGUCCGAAGAUGAAAAGAAAAAAGAGCAAGAUUUAGAUAAGCUUCUAGAAACCAAGAUACAAGAUAUCAUAAAUUCAUCUGAGCCCCACGAUGCUGACCUGCCAUACAUAAUGCAUGUGCUGGACAAUGAAGAAAUAGAGGGCCUCCCACCUGGAGGAGGGCUCUGUGCCAAACGUCAAACAAUAGACAGCAUUUUGAAAAGGUUGCGUCCUGAUGCGGCAGGUGAUUCAUCAAUCUGAUGAUGAAGAACAAGAGGCCUAGAACAUGCAGACGUCCAACUCAACAGAUGACUCUCUGUGAAAGAACAUAUUAUAGAAUCACUCCAUACGUUCACUG